CCUACGGGGGGCUGCAGUAGGGAAUAUUGGUAAUGUGCGAAAGCGCGAACCAGCAACGCCGCGUGCACGAUGAAGGCCUUCGGGUCGUAAAGUGCUUUUAGAGAGGAUGAGGAAGGACAGUACUUUCUGAAUAAGCCUCGGCUAACUACGUGCCAGCAGCCGCGGUAAAACGUAGGAGGCAAGCGUUAUCCGGAUUUACUGGGCGUAAAGCGCAUGCAGGUGGUUUUGUAAGUUGGAUGUGAAAGCUCCUGGCUUAACUGGGAGAGGUCGUUCAAAACUACAAGACUUGAGAUUGGUAGAGGAAAAUGGAAUUCCGGGUGUAGUGGUGAAAUGCGUAGAUAUCCGGAGGAACACCAGUGGCGAAAGCGGUUUUCUGGACCAAUUCUGACACUCAGAUGCGAAAGCUAAGGUAGCAAACGGGAUUAGAUACCCCGGUAGUC
This 440-nucleotide ribosomal RNA is filed under the name uncultured bacterium. RNAcentral's name for it is "bacterial SSU rRNA". It matches the Rfam family "Bacterial small subunit ribosomal RNA", at positions 338 to 795 of the family's 1533-position model. The record is from RNAcentral.